This 2225-nucleotide long non-coding RNA is filed under the name Triticum aestivum (bread wheat). RNAcentral's name for it is "long non-coding RNA (TAES_LNC028152)". Lineage: Eukaryota; Viridiplantae; Streptophyta; Magnoliopsida; Poales; Poaceae. The record is from RNAcentral.
AAUCUUGAUUCAUGUAUCUGCAUAUUUAGUUUGCUUUUGUUAUGCAUGUUGCAUAGGUUAGAGAGUAGCUAGUCCGGUGAAGUUUCAGCGGAGGCAUGCGGAUACGGCGAGAUGCCGGGCUGCCAAUGACGGCGUGAAGGCGCGGUGCCGUGUGAUACGGCGCAAGGCUUGAUGCCGGGGUGGUAUAGCCGUGGGAAGCGGCGAUACGCGUGCAGGAUGAAGCCAAACCGGCUGGCUGGAUAGAUCAAGUUGGAGCCAGGAGAAUUGGUCAGGUUGCAUGCAGUCGGUUAGUUGAACGGCUUGGCCGUGUAGUCUGGACGUGGGCGUGCAUGUAGUGCAUGUAGCUAGGGAUUAGUUAGUGGUGCGUGCGUGGGUUAGUGGCCGGUGUGGCCGUGGCUGUGUGUGCGCGUGAGUCUCUAUAUAAGAGAUGUAAAGCUUGUUGUUUGAGUGAAGCCGAGAGGGCUGGGAAAAACAAUGUAGUGUGUGUGUUCACCAAGGAGCAGACCCUCUUGGCAAAGCAGCGGAUGUCUUCUCUUUGGUGUAUGCGCGUGUGUGUGUGUGUGGAGUUUCACCAUGACCGUGUAGUGUGUGUUCUUGAGAGAGACAAAGAGAGAUGGAGAUUGAGUUGUGAGAGGCAGCUCAGGAGGAAGAAGAAGCGGUGCUGCAAGGAGAGAUGGCGCCAACAAUUGGUAUACAGAGCCAGGUUGAUCCGCGGCGGCGGCGGCGACGUGGUGGACUCCAUGGGAGGUGGAGGACGCCGGCGCGAGGUGAUGGCUGGCAGCGGCGCGAUGCCGCGGGCGGCCGGUUGCGGUGCGAUGCCGCGAGAUGAAGGUGGUGCGAUGAUCGGCGUCGCGAGGACGUCAUCCACGACAAGAUGGUCCGUGGUGACCGGCGCUGCGACGGCGUCGGUUGUGGCGCGACGGACUUCAUGCGAGAUGGAGGCCGACGGCGCAAGAAGGAGGAUGGUGGCCAUGCGGUGCCGCUAUGUGAAGAUGGCGGUGCGAAGCUGCCACAAGAAGAGUCGGCGUGAUGCCGACGACGGUGGUGUGAUGCCAUCGUCAUCUUGGAAAGUUGGUGUGAAGCCAACAAAAGUUGCGGUGGGAUGCCGCUUGGCGAAGACGGCGUGGUGAUCGGCGCUGCGACAGCGUCGUCCACGUCAAGAGGUGGCCGCUGCGUGCGGCAAGAGUACAUGGUGAUGGACGCGGGCGCUGCGAUGGCGUCGGUCCAGGCAAGGUGUGCAGCGCCGCGAUUGUGUCGUCAAGUGGCAGCGGGUGAACCGCGUGAAGAUUGGAGAAUCAAGAUUAGGAGGGAAAAUGUUAGGUUUAAUCUUGAUUCAUGUAUCUGCAUAUUUAGUUUGCUUUUGUUAUGCAUGUUGCAUAGGUUAGAGAGUAGCUAGUCCGGUGAAGUUUCAGCGGAGGCAUGCGGAUACGGCGAGAUGCCGGGCUGCCGAUGACGGCGUGAAGGCGCGGUGCCGUGUGAUACGGCGCAAGGCUUGAUGCCGGGGUGGUAUAGCUGUGGGAAGCGGCGAGACGCGUGCAGGAUGAAGCCAAACCGGCUGGCUGGAUAGAUCAAGUUGGAGCCAGGAGAAUUGGUCAGGUUGCAUGCAGUCGGUUAGUUGAACGGCUUGGCCGUGUAGUCUGGACGUGGGCGUGCAUGUAGUGCAUGUAGCUAGGGAUUAGUUAGUGGUGCGUGCGUGGGUUAGUGGCCGGUGUGGCCGUGGCUGUGUGUGCGCGUGAGUCUCUAUAUAAGAGAUGUAAAGCUUGUUGUUUGAGUGAAGCCGAGAGGGCUGGGAAAAACAAUGUAGUGUGUGUGUUCACCAAGGAGCAGACCCUCUUGGCAAAGCAGCGGAUGUCUUCUCUUUGGUGUAUGCGUGUGUGUGUGUGUGGAGUUUCACCAUGACCGUGUAGUGUGUGUUCUUGAGAGAGACAAAGAGAGAUGGCGAUUGAGUUGUGAGAGGCAGCUCAGGAGGAAGAAGAAGCGGUGCUGCAAGAAGAGAUGGCGCCAACAAUAAUGAGUGGGUCUGGCCAGCUCGUCACUUCUCUUCUUCUAAUUCUUGACGCACAUGCAUAGGCAAUAGUUAAUUCCACGAAGGUCCCACAAUUGAGGUAGUGCGAGCGAAUUGGUAUCACUUUACGUAAUUUUUACACGUCAAUAUCAAGACCGGGACACGCGGCUAUCAGUGGCGGAGCUUGAAAGAAAAAGUUGGGCGGGCCAGAAUAAAGGAG